CAGAGGGAUAGCCCAGAGAAAUUUGGAUUAUUUCCUCAUAGUAUGUUAGGGUGGCAUCACUUUAACAUUAAAGUCACAACGGCAAAAGAUGAGCAUGCGUCCCAUUAGCUAGUUGGUAAGGUAACGGCUUACCAAGGCGACGAUGGGUAGGGGUCCUGAGAGGGAGAUCCCCCACACUGGUACUGAGACACGGACCAGACUCCUACGGGAGGCAGCAGUGAGGAAUAUUGGUCAAUGGGCGCAAGCCUGAACCAGCCAUGCCGCGUGCAGGAUGACGGUCCUAUGGAUUGUAAACUGCUUUUGUACAGGAAGAAACAGUUCUACGUGUAGAACCUUGACGGUACUGUAAGAAUAAGGAUCGGCUAACUCCGUGCCAGCAGCCGCGGUAAUACGGAGGAUCCAAGCGUUAUCCGGAAUCAUUGGGUUUAAAGGGUCCGUAGGCGGUUUAGUAAGUCAGUGGUGAAAGCCCAUCGCUCAACGGUGGAACGGCCAUUGAUACUGCUAGACUUGAAUUAUUGGGAAGUAACUAGAAUAUGUAGUGUAGCGGUGAAAUGCUUAGAGAUUACAUGGAAUACCAAUUGCGAAGGCAGGUUACUACCAAUGGAUUGACGCUGAUGGACGAAAGCGUGGGGAGCGAACAGGAUUAGAUACCCUGGUAGUCCACGCCGUAAACGAUGGAUACUAGCUGUUGGUAGCAAUAUCAGUGGCUAAGCGAAAGUGAUAAGUAUCCCACCUGGGGAGUACGAACGCAAGUUUGAAACUCAAAGGAAUUGACGGGGGCCCGCACAAGCGGUGGAGCAUGUGGUUUAAUUCGAUGAUACGCGAGGAACCUUACCAAGGCUUAAAUGUAGAUUGACCGGUUUGGAAACAGAUCUUUCGCAAGACAAUUUACAAGGUGCUGCAUGGUUGUCGUCAGCUCGUGCCGUGAGGUGUCAGGUUAAGUCCUAUAACGAGCGCAACCCCUGUUGUUAGUUGCCAGCGAGUCAUGUCGGGAACUCUAACGAGACUGCCAGUGCAAACUGUGAGGAAGGUGGGGAUGACGUCAAAUCAUCACGGCCCUUACGCCUUGGGCUACACACGUGCUACAAUGGCCGGUACAGAGAGCAGCCACUUCGUGAGGAGGAGCGAAUCUAUAAAGCAGGUCACAGUUCGGAUCGGAGUCUGCAACUCGACUCCGGAAG
Molecule: ribosomal RNA, 1181 nt
Filed under: uncultured bacterium
Lineage: Bacteria
Description: bacterial SSU rRNA
Rfam family: Bacterial small subunit ribosomal RNA
Source: RNAcentral